UACGGGGGGGGCAAGCGUUGUUCGGAAUUACUGGGCGUAAAGGGCUCGUAGGCGGCCAACUAAGUCGGACGUGAAAUCCCUCGGCUUAACCGGGGAACUGCGUCUGAUACUGGAUGGCUUGAGGUUGGGAGAGGGAUGCGGAAUUCCAGGUGUAGCGGUGAAAUGCGUAGAUAUCUGGAGGAACACCGGUGGCGAAGGCGGCAUCCUGGACCAACACUGACACUGAGGAGCGAAAGCGUGGGGAGCGAACAGG
Molecule: ribosomal RNA, 253 nt
Filed under: uncultured bacterium
Lineage: Bacteria
Description: partial 16S ribosomal RNA
Rfam family: Bacterial small subunit ribosomal RNA
Source: RNAcentral